AUUGAACGCUGGCGGCAGGCCUAACACAUGCAAGUCGAGCGGAUGACGGGAGCUUGCUCCUUGAUUCAGCGGCGGACGGGUGAGUAAUGCCUAGGAAUCUGCCUGGUAGUGGGGGACAACGUUUCGAAAGGAACGCUAAUACCGCAUACGUCCUACGGGAGAAAGCAGGGGACCUUCGGGCCUUGCGCUAUCAGAUGAGCCUAGGUCGGAUUAGCUAGUUGGUGGGGUAAUGGCUCACCAAGGCGACGAUCCGUAACUGGUCUGAGAGGAUGAUCAGUCACACUGGAACUGAGACACGGUCCAGACUCCUACGGGAGGCAGCAGUGGGGAAUAUUGGACAAUGGGCGAAAGCCUGAUCCAGCCAUGCCGCGUGUGUGAAGAAGGUCUUCGGAUUGUAAAGCACUUUAAGUUGGGAGGAAGGGCAGUAAGUUAAUACCUUGCUGUUUUGACGUUACCGGCAGAAUAAGCACCGGCUAACUCUGUGCCAGCAGCCGCGGUAA
This 500-nucleotide ribosomal RNA is filed under the name uncultured bacterium. RNAcentral's name for it is "partial 16S ribosomal RNA". It matches the Rfam family "Bacterial small subunit ribosomal RNA", at positions 30 to 523 of the family's 1533-position model. The record is from RNAcentral.